GUUUCACAAAACUGCGAAUAACUCAACCAAUUUUAAUCCAAAUCCACUUUUGUAAACUGGAGAAUAACGAUAAAAGACUUGGGAAUAAACCUACCAAAUUUCGUUACCUUUUACCAUGAUUUGAUAUGUCGAAACCGUUUUCUCCCAAACCCUAACGAUUCUGGUUCUUCUCCUUCUCUCUCUUUUUCUCCUUUAUAAAACGAAAAGUGGCUAACUAAAGCCCUAAUUUCGAGUUUCGUUCUUUUAUAGGCACACUCUAGGGUUUCCAAUUAACCCAACCAAUUAAACCGGAUGAUUUAAAUACAAACCCUAACCGAUUUUCCGGUUCACGGGCGUUACAUCUGAGCCUUCUCCUACCUCAGCAUCUGUCAAUGCAGCCACACUACCCAGUGGAAAGCAACUAAACCCAAUCCUUCAUCGCAAACGUUCAGCUCAGACUUCAUCUCGUCCAGUUGCAGAAAAAACCUUAGUCUCGAUCGAUACAUCAUG
Molecule: small RNA, 489 nt
Filed under: Arabidopsis thaliana (thale cress)
Lineage: Eukaryota; Viridiplantae; Streptophyta; Magnoliopsida; Brassicales; Brassicaceae
Description: ATSL210950
Source: RNAcentral